AUUGAACGCUGGCGGCAGGCCUAACACAUGCAAGUCGAGCGGAUGAAGGGAGCUUGCUCCUGGAUUCAGCGGCGGACGGGUGAGUAAUGCCUAGGAAUCUGCCUGGUAGUGGGGGAUAACGUCCGGAAACGGGCGCUAAUACCGCAUACGUCCUGAGGGAGAAGUUGGGGGUUCUUCGAACCUCACGCUUUCAGAUGAGCCUAGGUCGGAUUAGCUAGUUGGUGGGGUAAAGGCCUACCAAGGCGACGAUCCGUAACUGGUCUGAGAGGAUGAUCAGUCACACUGGAACUGAGACACGGUCCAGACUCCUACGGGAGGCAGCAGUGGGGAAUAUUGGACAAUGGGCGAAAGCCUGAUCCAGCCAUGCCGCGUGUGUGAAGAAGGUCUUCGGAUUGUAAAGCACUUUAAGUUGGGAGGAAGGGCAGUAAGUUAAUACCUUGCUGUUUUGACGUUACCAACAGAAUAAGCACCGGCUAACUUCGUG
RNAcentral lists this ribosomal RNA (484 nucleotides) under uncultured bacterium. RNAcentral describes it as "partial 16S ribosomal RNA". It matches the Rfam family "Bacterial small subunit ribosomal RNA", at positions 30 to 507 of the family's 1533-position model. The record is from RNAcentral.